Molecule: long non-coding RNA, 1672 nt
Filed under: Salmo salar (Atlantic salmon)
Lineage: Eukaryota; Metazoa; Chordata; Actinopteri; Salmoniformes; Salmonidae
Description: lncRNA (ENSSSAG00000097258.1)
Source: RNAcentral
CUUCAUUUUUUUGCGCCUGCGCAUAAAUCUGAGAAACGUGAGUUUUGUCUUCAUUGUUUAUCUCGACAUAGGAUAGGUUGUGUGAAAAUAUUACUGAUGUUUAACGUUAAAAAUGGACCAAAAGAUUAAUGCUAAACAACAUUUGACAUGUUUGAACAAACAUAAAUAGAUUAUUUACUAGGUUUUUUAGCUUUUCGGGCGUGAUUUUACAGUCCCCCACCACGUUUUGUGGGAGCAUAAUGAACACUAAGUACUUGGUGUUAUUUGGACAUAAAUUAUGAACUUUGUCAAAAGAAACCACAUUUGUUCCGGACCUGUGAUGCCUUCCGGACCUGGGAUGCCAGUCUUCUGAUGGAGAUAAUCAAAGAAACAACAAGUGUUGCUGAGAGCACUGCACAGACAUCUGGUGGGAAAACACACAGCAUUUCUACACAUAAGAGACGUCUGACAUAAUUGGAAUGGGGCGAGCCAAGAGACACUGCAGCUCACCAUGAACUGUCCAUUUCCAAUUGACUGUGCCGCGACUGCUGCUUCAAGUUUCAGCACGGAAAUGUCACUGUCCUUUCCGGCAGUAUAUGCCCAGCAAGCCAGCAAAGUAUGGCAUCAAGAUAUGGGUGGCCUGUGACGCACAAUCCAGCUUUGCUUGGAAGAUGCAAGUCUACACAGGGAAGCCGACCAGUGGAAGCCCGGAGAAGAACCAGGGGAUGCGGGUUUUGCUUGAUGUGACAGAUGGACUGAGGGGGCACAAUGUCACAUGUGACAAUUUCUUCACCUCUUAUGAACUCAGCCAGUAGCUCCUGAAGAGGAAGAUCACUGUGGUUGGUACAAUUAGAAAGAACAAGCCUGAGCUCCCCCCUGAACUCCUCACAAGGGGAGAGAGGCCUUCUCAUCAAAGUUAGCCUUCACCCCCACCACCAGUCUAGUUUCUUACCUCCCAAAUAGGAACAAGAAUGUGGUCCUCCUGAGCACACUGCACAAAACGGCUGAGAUCAGUGACCGUGAGGACAGGAAGCCAGGCAUCAUCCUGGACUACAACCACAACAAAGGAGGCGUGUACAACCUGGAUAAGGUGAUUGGAACUUACAGCUGCAGGAGGAUGACUGCCCGCUGGCCCCUGGUCAUCUUCCAUAACAUCAUUGAUGUGUCCUCAUACAAUGCCUUUGUGAUAUGGAACAAGAUCAACCCUACCUGGAUGCCUGAUAAGCGGAAACAAGAGGAGGGUGUUCCUGGAGCAGCUGGGAAAGGCACUUGUAACCCCACACAUUCAAAGAAGGGAGUGCCUCCCCUGCACAACAGCCUCUUCAGCGCUUGUGAAAGCUGUUCAGUGGGCUGAAUCUUUUCCUGAUCCACCUGAGGCUGCAGCUGGGGCCGACAAGAGGAGGAGAUGCCAAUUCUGUAAAACAAAUACUAUGUGCUCCACAUGUGAGAAAUACAUCUGCAAAGGCCAUUUAUACACACUUGCAUACUGUCCUACAUGUGCUAAUUAGAGUUGAUAGAUUUAUGUUCUUCACGCUUUUGUUUUGUAUCUAUCUUAUUUAUUGUUUAUACACCUUGAGGGUGGGGGCAAUGGUUCAAAAAAUGGGAGAAGACUAGUAUUUUGUUUGUACAGUAUAAGAAUAUUACUAUGUUGCCAAAAAAGUUCAAGACUGUUAUUGUUUCCCUUCAAUAAAAC